GAUGAAGAACGUAGCAAAAUGCGAUACUUGGUGUGAAUUGCAGAAUCCCGUGAACCAUCGAGUUUUUGAACGCAAGUUGCGCCCGAAGCCAUUAGGCCGAGGGCACGCCUGCCUGGGCGUCACACGUCGUUGCCCCCCCAUCUACUCCUUCGGGAUUGCGGGGGGCGGAUGAUGGCCUCCCGUGCGCCUCGUCGCGCGGUUGGCCUAAAUGCCAAGUCCUCGGCGACGCACGCCACGACAAUCGGUGGUUGCGAAACCUCGGUUGCCCGUCGUGUGCGGUCGUCGCGCAUCGAGGGCUCGAAAAAAUUGCCGGGCUUCGGCUCGACUUUCAACGCGACCCCAGGUCAGGCGGGGUUACCCGCUGAAUUUAAGCAUAUCAAUAAGCGGAGGA
Molecule: unclassified non-coding RNA, 391 nt
Filed under: soil metagenome
Description: partial contains 5.8S ribosomal RNA, internal transcribed spacer 2, and large subunit ribosomal RNA
Rfam family: 5.8S ribosomal RNA (bases 1-122)
Source: RNAcentral